CCUUGCCAGCCCGCUACAGAAACUUAAAUGAAUUGACGGGGGCCCGCACAAGCGGAGGAGCAUGUGGUUUAAUUCGAUGAUACGCGAGGAACCUUACCUGGGCUCGAACGUAAGAUGACUGUAGGUGAAAGCUUACAUCUCUUCGGAGCAUUUUACGAGGUGCUGCAUGGUUGUCGUCAGCUCGUGCCGUGAGGUGUCGGGUUAAGUCCCAUAACGAGCGCAACCCCUACCUUUAGUUGCCAUCAGGUUAAGCUGGGGACUCUAAAGGAACUGCCUACGCAAGUAGUGAGGAAGGCGGGGAUGACGUCAAAUCAGCACGGCCCUUACGUCCAGGGCUACACACGUGCUACAAUGGCCGAUACAGAGGGCAGCUACCUGGUGACAGGAUGCAAAUCUCCAAAGUCGGUCUCAGUUCGGAUCGGAGUCUGCAACCCGACUCCGUGAAGUUGGAUUCGCUAGUAAUCGCGCAUCAGCCAUGGCGCGGUGAAUACGUUCCCGGGCCUU
Molecule: ribosomal RNA, 504 nt
Filed under: uncultured Sphingobacteriales bacterium
Lineage: Bacteria; Pseudomonadati; Bacteroidota; Sphingobacteriia; Sphingobacteriales
Description: bacterial SSU rRNA
Rfam family: Bacterial small subunit ribosomal RNA
Source: RNAcentral